GAUGAACGCUGGCGGCGUGCCUAAUACAUGCAAGUCGAGCGAACAGACGAGGAGCUUGCUCCUCUGACGUUAGCGGCGGACGGGUGAGUAACACGUGGAUAACCUACCUAUAAGACUGGGAUAACUUCGGGAAACCGGAGCUAAUACCGGAUAAUAUAUUGAACCGCAUGGUUCAAUAGUGAAAGACGGUUUUGCUGUCACUUAUAGAUGGAUCCGCGCCGCAUUAGCUAGUUGGUAAGGUAACGGCUUACCAAGGCGACGAUGCGUAGCCGACCUGAGAGGGCGAUCGGCCACACUGGAACUGAGACACGUUCCAGACUCCUACGGGAGGCAGCAGUAGGGAAUCUUCCGCAAUGGGCGAAAGCCUGACGGAGCAACGCCGCGUGAGUGAUGAAGGUCUUCGGAUCGUAAAACUCUGUUAUUAGGGAAGAACAAAUGUGUAAGUAACUAUGCACGUCUUGACGGUACCUAAUCAGAAAGCCACGGCUAACUACGUG
RNAcentral lists this ribosomal RNA (497 nucleotides) under uncultured bacterium. RNAcentral's name for it is "partial 16S ribosomal RNA". It matches the Rfam family "Bacterial small subunit ribosomal RNA", at positions 28 to 507 of the family's 1533-position model. The record is from RNAcentral.